This 46-nucleotide transfer RNA is filed under the name Barbarea vulgaris subsp. arcuata. Its description in RNAcentral is "partial tRNA-His". The record is from RNAcentral. Lineage: Eukaryota; Viridiplantae; Streptophyta; Magnoliopsida; Brassicales; Brassicaceae.
GGUAGGGGCGGAUGUAGCCAAGUGGAUUAAGGCAGUGGAUUGUGAA